This is a long non-coding RNA of Thalassophryne amazonica, 190 nucleotides long. RefSeq lists it as uncharacterized. The transcript is spliced from 3 exons. The record is from RefSeq and is a predicted model, not a curated record. Lineage: Eukaryota; Metazoa; Chordata; Actinopteri; Batrachoidiformes; Batrachoididae.
AAACCAAGAUGGGGGAAAUGCUCCAAAACAGCAUAUUUCUGUAUAAAUCUAAUAGUAUGUUUCUCAUAUAUUUUGUAAAUGUUAGCAAGAAAUAAACACUUCUAAAUCUAAAAAUGUUGUUUAUGUAACCAGAUAAUACAUCUGAAGAGAUUUACAAGACAUCUUAUGGAUCUGUACCAGAAAGACAGGA